GGUGGCUCAGUGGUAGAGUGUUUGCCUUGCAUGCAUGAGGCUCUGGGUUCAAUUCCCCAGUACCA
RNAcentral lists this transfer RNA (65 nucleotides) under Dipodomys ordii (Ord's kangaroo rat). It matches the Rfam family "tRNA". From Rfam's summary of the family: Transfer RNA (tRNA) molecules are approximately 80 nucleotides in length. Their secondary structure includes four short double-helical elements and three loops (D, anti-codon, and T loops). Further hydrogen bonds mediate the characteristic L-shaped molecular structure. tRNAs have two regions of fundamental functional importance: the anti-codon, which is responsible for specific mRNA codon recognition, and the 3' end, to which the tRNAs corresponding amino acid is attached (by aminoacyl-tRNA synthetases). tRNAs cope with the degeneracy of the genetic code in two manners: having more than one tRNA (with a specific anti-codon) for a particular amino acid; and 'wobble' base-pairing, i.e. permitting non-standard base-pairing at the 3rd anti-codon position. Lineage: Eukaryota; Metazoa; Chordata; Mammalia; Rodentia; Heteromyidae. The record is from Rfam by way of RNAcentral.